GAUGAACGCUGGCGGCGUGCCUAAUACAUGCAAGUCGAGCGAACAGACGAGGAGCUUGCUCCUCUGACGUUAGCGGCGGACGGGUGAGUAACACGUGGAUAACCUACCUAUAAGACUGGGAUAACUUCGGGAAACCGGAGCUAAUACCGGAUAAUAUAUUGAACCGCAUGGUUCAAUAGUGAAAGACGGUUUUGCUGUCACUUAUAGAUGGAUCCGCGCCGCAUUAGCUAUUUGGUAAGGGAACGGCUUACCAAGGCAACGAUGCGUAGCCGACCUGAGAGGGUGAUCGGCCACACUGGAACUGAGACACGGUCCAGACUCCUACGGGAGGCAGCAGUAGGGAAUCUUCCGCAAUGGGCGCAAGCCUGACGGAGCAACGCCGCGUGAGUGAUGAAGGUCUUCGGAUCGUAAAACUCUGUUAUUAGGGAAGAACAAAUGUGUAAGUAACUAUGCACGUCUUGACGGUACCUAAUCAGAAAGCCACGGCUAACUACGUG
Molecule: ribosomal RNA, 497 nt
Filed under: uncultured bacterium
Lineage: Bacteria
Description: partial 16S ribosomal RNA
Rfam family: Bacterial small subunit ribosomal RNA
Source: RNAcentral